GGGCGAGUGGCGGAAUCGGUAUACGCGUGUGUUCGAGGGGCACAUGCCGCAAGGCUUGAGGGUUCGAGUCCCUCCUCGCCCA
RNAcentral lists this transfer RNA (82 nucleotides) under bacterium. RNAcentral's name for it is "tRNA-Leu". It matches the Rfam family "tRNA". From Rfam's summary of the family: Transfer RNA (tRNA) molecules are approximately 80 nucleotides in length. Their secondary structure includes four short double-helical elements and three loops (D, anti-codon, and T loops). The record is from RNAcentral.